UUCCGGCCGUGAGGACAGCUGCGCCCCUCCCCCCACAUUUCCUGGGAAAAGCGUUAUUUCCCGACGUCCUUUGAAAGUAAAAACGAGCUUGUCCUACUGCACGGCUCCGUUUUCCAUGCCUUAAGGACCGGGUGCACCUGCCUUAAGGACCGGCCUCGGUGCGCUCCACCACCUUAAGAAAAUGAAGUUCACAGAAAAAUUUUAGGGCCUGGGAAAUAUGACAGUGAUUCUCAACUCUAGUCACAUUUGUUAGAGAUCUUUAAGAAAAUAGAUUCCCGGAUAGCCUUGGCUAAACCAGAAGGUUGGCUGUGCUCGUUGGAUUGCCUUGGAGUUCCUUCCCUGCUCCCUUCUUAGAAGGCCUCUCUGCAAUGUCUUCUUGAACAUAGGAUGGGUUUUAUUAAGUAUAACUAUUUCAUUCUUAAUCUUAACAUUCAAGAUUUGAAUUUACCUUUUAUUAGGAAAUGAAAGCUUUUCAGUCAUUGACUUUGCUUUAAUGUUGUGUCAUGAUUAGGUUAAAAAUCCACCGUAAAUUGUACCAAGUUUCUGUAAUGGUAUAAUAGUGUUUUACAUAUAACUGGCUGAUCCUAAUUGUAGAAUUCAUGUUCAGUUGGGUGAAUUCUGUGGAGUUGUCGCUAUUGACACCUCAGUCUGAAAGAAAGAUACAAUAUUAGAGGGGUUGGUUUCCAACGACUUUAAGGGCAGGGAAAAUAUAAGCGUGAUUUUCCAUUUUAUUCCCUAUCCCUAGAUUACUUGAAAAGGAUCAUCUAUGAUCCCAUGUUAGAGGCUGGAGUCAGUACAGAAUAUUCCAGGGUCCUGCCCGCUGUGAGAAGACGGUACCUGAUGGACAACGAGUUUCUCCGUUCCUGCGCUUGGUCACCUACACACGUUUCCAGCGCGCCCUCCGCUACCCAGCCCUGUCCUUUGGCCCGGCCGAUAAUGUUGGGGUAGACGAACUGGGGCUCCCGCGACCCAGCCAGGCCCGCCUUAAUCACUCCUGAGCCGUUGUCGAUCACCACUGGUAGCUGGUAGUAGUAGCUCAUGCCGCUGCCUCCUCCUCCUGUCGCCUGGCUGCUCUGGCUGCCCUGGCUGCGGGCUACGCUAGGGAGCGAAAGUGCGAAGCGCGGGCCCUUGGGCAGCGCCAGAAGGCCUACGGCCUGGAACGUCGCGUCACAGAAGCGCUGGCCUGACCACGGGGCCUGCGCCUGGCAGGCGUGCCCUGGAGAGCCCAGGCCCAUUGACCCUCCAAAGUGCUGCGCCCCCCCCCCCCCACCCCCCGACUGCAUCUCACAGGGGCUGGGUCACUUGCCACCCCCUGGAAUCCCGGGAUACCAAUAUCAGGAAAACCCAACUUUCUUCACUAAUGAUAUAAAUCUAACCCUUCACAAGGGGCCUUCCCCAAUACCUCGAUGAGUCAUAAAAAGUUUUCUUUUCCAAA
Molecule: long non-coding RNA, 1435 nt
Organism: Acinonyx jubatus (cheetah)
Lineage: Eukaryota; Metazoa; Chordata; Mammalia; Carnivora; Felidae
Exons: 2
Source: RefSeq, a predicted model, not a curated record